AACAUAGGCUACGCAAACAAUAGCUGCUUCCACUGAGUGCAGCGCAAUUGGUGCCAAUGUCCACCGCCCUUCAAGAGGUCUCAGGCUUGAGUCUCACAAAAAGAAGAGUUGUUUCAAGUUUUUGGUCAUCUACUUGGCUAUUGACCUGAGUAGGCGGUAAUAUAAAUUGCAACUGGAGAUAGCUCCAUGUCAGCAAUGGCUUGAUCAGCAGUUUCAGAAGAGUAUGUUGAGAUAAAGGACAAUCCAUCCAGCCAUUGAGAAAAUAGCAAAAAUAUGAACCCAGAAUAGGACAGCAGCAGCU
Molecule: long non-coding RNA, 301 nt
Filed under: Populus trichocarpa (black cottonwood)
Lineage: Eukaryota; Viridiplantae; Streptophyta; Magnoliopsida; Malpighiales; Salicaceae
Description: long non-coding RNA (PTRI_LNC003716)
Source: RNAcentral